UACGUAGGGGGCAAGCGUUGUCCGGAUUCAUUGGGCGUAAAGAGCGUGUAGGCGGCCAGGUAGGUCGGUUGUGAAAACUGGAGGCUCAACCUUCAGACGUCGACCGAAACCAUCUGGCUAGAGUCCGGGAGAGGAGAGUGGAAUUCCUGGUGUAGCGGUGGAAUGCGCAGAUAUCAGGAGGAACACCAAUAGCGAAGGCAGCUCGCUGGGACGUUACUGACACUGAGGCGCGAAAGCGUGGGGAGCGAACAGG
This 253-nucleotide ribosomal RNA is filed under the name uncultured bacterium. Its description in RNAcentral is "partial 16S ribosomal RNA". It matches the Rfam family "Bacterial small subunit ribosomal RNA", at positions 524 to 776 of the family's 1533-position model. The record is from RNAcentral.